RNAcentral lists this non-coding RNA (182 nucleotides) under Candidatus Thioglobus sp. RNAcentral describes it as "6S RNA". It matches the Rfam family "6S / SsrS RNA". From Rfam's summary of the family: E. coli 6S RNA was the first non coding RNA to be sequenced, but its function was unknown until recently. It consists of 184 nucleotides that fold into an extended hairpin structure with a large single-stranded internal bulge. The record is from RNAcentral. Lineage: Bacteria; Pseudomonadati; Pseudomonadota; Gammaproteobacteria; Pseudothioglobaceae (SeqCode).
AAGUGUCUAUUGUGUUCGUGGUUGGCCUUAUUCCCCUGAGCCGAUAAAUUAAUAACUAAGGAUAUGAGAUAGGUUACUAUUGUGCAAGCCCUCCUUGAAGUGGGAAGCCUGCGGUAAUCUUCGAAUUUCCGCCUUGAACCUUACUGGUUCAGGUUUAGGUCUCACGACACAAUAGAUUUUAA